GAUGAACGCUGGCGGCGUGCCUAACACAUGCAAGUCGAGCGAAGCACUUUGCUUAGAUUCUUCGGAUGAAGAGGAUUGUGACUGAGCGGCGGACGGGUGAGUAACGCGUGGGUAACCUGCCUCAUACAGGGGGAUAACAGUUAGAAAUGACUGCUAAUACCGCAUAAGACCACAGCACCGCAUGGUGCGGGGGUAAAAACUCCGGUGGUAUGAGAUGGACCCGCGUCUGAUUAGCUAGUUGGUAAGGUAACGGCUUACCAAGGCGACGAUCAGUAGCCGACCUGAGAGGGUGACCGGCCACAUUGGGACUGAGACACGGCCCAAACUCCUACGGGAGGCAGCAGUGGGGAAUAUUGCACAAUGGGGGAAACCCUGAUGCAGCGACGCCGCGUGAGCGAAGAAGUAUUUCGGUAUGUAAAGCUCUAUCAGCAGGGAAGAAAAUGACGGUACCUGACUAAGAAGCAC
RNAcentral lists this ribosomal RNA (465 nucleotides) under uncultured bacterium. RNAcentral's name for it is "bacterial SSU rRNA". It matches the Rfam family "Bacterial small subunit ribosomal RNA", at positions 28 to 493 of the family's 1533-position model. The record is from RNAcentral.